CCUACGGGCGGCAGCAGUGGGGAAUAUUGCACAAUGGGCGCAAGCCUGAUGCAGCCAUGCCGCGUGUGUGAAGAAGGCCUUCGGGUUGUAAAGCACUUUCAGCGGGGAGGAAGGCGGUGAGGUUAAUAACCUCAUCGAUUGACGUUACCCGCAGAAGAAGCACCGGCUAACCCCGUGCCAGCAGCCACGGUAAUACGGAGGGUGCAAGCGUUAAUCGGAAUUACUGGGCGUAAAGCGCACGCAGGCGGUCUGUCAAGUCGGAUGUGAAAUCCCCGGGCUCAACCUGGGAACUGCAUUUGAAACUGGCAGGCUAGAGUCUUGUAGAGGGGGGUAGAAUUCCAGGUGUAGCGGUGAAAUGCGUAGAGAUCUGGAGGAAUACCGGUGGCGAAGGCGACUGCCUGGACCAGUACUGACACUGAGGCACGAAAGCGUGGGGAGCAAACAGGAUUAGAUACCCCGGUAGUC
This 465-nucleotide ribosomal RNA is filed under the name uncultured Klebsiella sp. RNAcentral describes it as "bacterial SSU rRNA". It matches the Rfam family "Bacterial small subunit ribosomal RNA", at positions 338 to 795 of the family's 1533-position model. The record is from RNAcentral. Lineage: Bacteria; Pseudomonadati; Pseudomonadota; Gammaproteobacteria; Enterobacterales; Enterobacteriaceae.